This is a long non-coding RNA of Haliotis rufescens (red abalone), 366 nucleotides long. RefSeq lists it as uncharacterized. The transcript is spliced from 3 exons. The record is from RefSeq and is a predicted model, not a curated record. Lineage: Eukaryota; Metazoa; Mollusca; Gastropoda; Lepetellida; Haliotidae.
UAAGGAGGUAUUUAAAUGUGACAUGUCUACGACCUUUAUACACAUACGGCUAUACAUGGUCCCGGAAACAUUCAACAGCAUAAAGAAACAUGAAGUUUAUGAUUUUCCUCGUGUUUGCCUCUCUCCUGGUCGCCGAACAGGCAGCCCAGACCACCUGCGGCAAGGGGUGUGUAGCCUCAGGCUCUAACUCCCACUCUUUCUGCGAAAACCUCUGCUCCAGCUGUAAUGGCCACGUCCAUUGUCUCCACAAUGUGGACGAAUGCGUGUGCCACACUGAUCAUACUCACCAGCCCUGAGCUUUUCCACCCGGAUAUGCACACUGCGGGAUCUGACGCUGUGAUAAUGCGAAUAAAGUUGUGAAUUACA